This is a non-coding RNA of Poecilia reticulata (guppy), 1045 nucleotides long. The record is from RefSeq and is a predicted model, not a curated record. Lineage: Eukaryota; Metazoa; Chordata; Actinopteri; Cyprinodontiformes; Poeciliidae.
ACUGGGAGAAGGUGAAGAAGGGCCCUGUGGGGACGAUGCUGAAUGAGGAGCAUCGUCAACUGGUGGCUUCUCACAAAUCUGCCAUCCUGGAGAGUCUCAGACAAAUACAGGCAUCAUGAGCAGAAUGAGAAGUUCCACCGCAACACCAUGACUGAGAUGUUGAUAAGUGGAAUGUGACAAGGUUUUGCCACUUGUGUGUCUAAUUGUUGCAAAAAAAAAGUACUUCAAGUUAUUUUGUUUUGGUAUGCGUUUGUUUAUGUACAUUUGAUAAUUGUGGCAUGUUUUGUGAAAUAAUAAAUGACAAAGUGUUUUCCUCCUAUUGGCAGAGAUCAACAUAGUCAGAUACAGACUAUGCAAUAAACAAUCUGCAAAGUCUAAGCCUGUUAUUAUUUUAGGUAAUCUGAUCUAGGACUUCCAAUUACAUCUGCUGGUCAGCGACCAGCAGAUGUAAUUGUUUAUAUUGCUGUAUUAUACUAUAAAUGUUAAAUUAUUUAGUUUAACUUAUUAUUCUUAAAUAUAAACAAUUGUGAGGCUUAAAACAUGAGUUAUACAUUUUUAUAUAAAUUUUUAUCAUUCUGUGGAAAGUUGUGAUACAGACCAAAACAUGUUUUUACCUGUAUAAGCUGUCAAAAUGUGAAUAUACAAUUUAAAUUAUGAAAAUGAGGAAAGUCGGUAUGAGGACCUACAAUGGUGUGAGAAGUGUUUGUGUUUGUUCCCCUCCUGGUUACAUACAGUGUCUUGUAAAAGAAUUCAUAACCCUAUACUUUUUCCAGGGUUUGUGAUUUUACAACCACAAACAUCAGUGACUGACAGUGAAUAGUGAAUAAUUGUGAAGUAGAGUAAAAAUGACAUGAAAGAACAAAUUUUUACAAUGAAACAUGAAAGUUUUAGUGCGUGUUUGCACUCAGACCCCCUUUACUCUGACUCCCCUCAAUAAAGUCCAAUAAAUUGCCUUCAAAAGUCAACUAAUCAGUAAACUGACCUCUAGUUUAUGUUUUGAAUUAUGAUGAUUACAGUCACCAAAACUGACUUUUUUUUUACAAAU